This is a small nuclear RNA of Saimiri boliviensis boliviensis (Bolivian squirrel monkey), 103 nucleotides long. The record is from RefSeq and is a predicted model, not a curated record. Lineage: Eukaryota; Metazoa; Chordata; Mammalia; Primates; Cebidae.
UUGCUUCGGCAGCAAGUAUACUAAAACUGGAACAAUUUAGAGAAGAUUAGCAUGGCCCCUGUUCAAGGAUGACACACAAAUUUGUGAAGCGUUUCAUUAAAAA